This 253-nucleotide ribosomal RNA is filed under the name uncultured bacterium. RNAcentral's name for it is "partial 16S ribosomal RNA". It matches the Rfam family "Bacterial small subunit ribosomal RNA", at positions 15 to 263 of the family's 1533-position model. The record is from RNAcentral.
AAUCCUGGCUCAGGAUGAACGCUAGCGACAGGCUUAACACAUGCAAGUCGAGGGGCAGCGGGGAGUAGCAAUACUCUGCCGGCGACCGGCGCACGGGUGAGUAACGCGUAUGUAACCUGCCUUAUACAGGGGGAUAGCCCAUGGAAACGUGGAUUAAUAUCCCAUAGUACUGAGAAUCCGCAUGGUUUUUCAGUUAAAGCUUCGGUGGUAUAAGAUGGACAUGCGUCCUAUUAGGUAGUUGGUCGGGUAACGG